UUGCUCUUCAACGAGGAAUUCCUAGUAAGCGCAUGUCAUCAGCAUGCGUUGAUUACGUCCCUGCCCUUUGUACACACCGCCCGUCGCUACUACCGAUUGAAUGGCUUAGUGAGGCCUCCGGAUUGAGGUUUGGUGGCCGAAAGGCUGCCUCGCUUUGAAAAGUUGGUCAAACAUGGUCAUUUAGAGGAAGUAAAAGUCGUAACAAGGUUUCCGUAGGGGAACCUGCGGAAGGAUCAUUAACAAAUCAUCAUAGUCGUGCGCUUCGGCGCACCGCUAUAUACACCCCAAGCCUGGGAAGAGCAGCAAUGCUUGGAACGGCUUUGGUUGCAGCCUUCGGGCUGUAGGCUAGGGAGCCGCAAGGCAAACUAGCCACAUAGACGCUUGCUUAGUUUGACAGAGUUUAGUUGACAUUUUAAAAAAUACAACUUUUAACAAUGGAUCUCUUGGCUCUUGCAACGAUGAAGAACGCAGUGAAAUGCGAAACGUAAUGCGAUUUGCACGAACCUGUGAGUCAUCAAGUCUUUGAACGCACCUUGCACCAUAUGAGCAAUCGUAUGGUAUACCUGUUUGAGAAUCGUAAAAACCCACUCCUACCCUUGGGUAGGGAAGUGUCGGUUUGAGCCAGCUCAAUCUGAUCAAAAGUAGUAGGUCUAGUCAGGCUAGUGGCCUGGGACAUUGUGUGCUAGAGACGUCGCCCUCGUGGCUACUGUCUUCUCACGAUGCGUCCUGGGCUAUUCAAGCUGGUCUGGUGUUGACCUCUUCAGUGGUGACCUCACGGUUGCCACACCCCCCCUUUUUGAUCUCAAAUCAGGUAAGGCUACCCGCUGAACUUAAGCAUAUCAAUAAGCGGAGGA
Molecule: ribosomal RNA, 854 nt
Filed under: uncultured fungus
Lineage: Eukaryota; Fungi
Description: eukaryotic LSU rRNA
Rfam family: Eukaryotic small subunit ribosomal RNA (bases 1-239)
Source: RNAcentral